ACUUACUCUUCGGAGUGAGAGCGUACACAGGUGCUGCAUGGCUGUCGUCAGCUCGUGUCGUGAGAUGUUGGGUUAAAUCCCGCAACGAGCGCAACCCCUGCAUUCAGUUGCCAUCGGUAAGGCCGGGCACUCUGGAUGGACUGCCGGCGACAAGCCGGAGGAAGGUGGGGACGACGUCAAGUCAUCAUGGCCCUUAUGUCCAGGGCGACACACGUGCUACAAUGGCCGGCACAACGGGAAGCGAAGGGGCGACCCUGAGCGGAUCCCACAAAAGCCGGUCUCAGUUCGGAUUGCAGUCUGCAACUCGACUGCAUGAAGUUGGAAUCGCUAGUAAUCGUGGAUCAGCCAAGCCGCGGUGAAUACGUUCCCGGGCCUU
Molecule: ribosomal RNA, 376 nt
Filed under: uncultured Thermovirga sp.
Lineage: Bacteria; Thermotogati; Synergistota; Synergistia; Synergistales; Thermovirgaceae
Description: bacterial SSU rRNA
Rfam family: Bacterial small subunit ribosomal RNA
Source: RNAcentral